GGGGUUGUGGCUCAGUGGUAGAAGUGCUUACCUUGCAUGCAUGAGCCAAUGUGUUCGAUACCCGGCACCA
This 70-nucleotide transfer RNA is filed under the name Marmota monax (woodchuck). RNAcentral's name for it is "tRNA.Ala". The record is from RNAcentral. Lineage: Eukaryota; Metazoa; Chordata; Mammalia; Rodentia; Sciuridae.